This 433-nucleotide ribosomal RNA is filed under the name uncultured bacterium. RNAcentral's name for it is "bacterial SSU rRNA". It matches the Rfam family "Bacterial small subunit ribosomal RNA", at positions 29 to 507 of the family's 1533-position model. The record is from RNAcentral.
AACGAACGCUGGCGGCAUGCCUAACACAUGCAAGUCGAACGAAGGCUUCGGCCUUAGUGGCGCACGGGUGCGUAACGCGUGGGAAUCUGCCCUUGGGUUCGGAAUAACUCAGAGAAAUUUGAGCUAAUACCGGAUGAUGACGUAAGUCCAAAGAUUUAUCGCCCAAGGAUCAGCCCGCGUAAGAUUAGCUAGUUGGUGGGGUAAAGGCCUACCAAGGCGACGAUCUUUAGCUGGUCUGAGAGGAUGAUCAGCCACACUGGGACUGAGACACGGCCCAGACUCCUACGGGAGGCAGCAGUGGGGAAUAUUGGACAAUGGGCGAAAGCCUGAUCCAGCAAUGCCGCGUGAGUGAUGAAGGCCUUAGGGUUGUAAAGCUCCUUUACCAGGGAUGAUAAUGACAGUACCUGGAGAAUAAGCUCCGGCUAACUCCGUG